CGGGCAAUGCGGGNUGCUAUACAUGCAGUAGAACGCUGAAGAGAGGAGCUUGCUCUUCUUGGAUGAGUUGCGAACGGGUGAGUAACGCGUAGGUAACCUGCCUUGUAGCGGGGGAUAACUAUUGGAAACGAUAGCUAAUACCGCAUAACAAUGGAUGACACAUGUCAUUUAUUUGAAAGGGGCAAUUGCUCCACUACAAGAUGGACCUGCGUUGUAUUAGCUAGUAGGUGAGGUAAUGGCUCACCUAGGCGACGAUACAUAGCCGACCUGAGAGGGUGAUCGGCCACACUGGGACUGAGACACGGCCCAGACUCCUACGGGAGGCAGCAGUAGGGAAUCUUCGGCAAUGGGGGCAACCCUGACCGAGCAACGCCGCGUGAGUGAAGAAGGUUUUCGGAUCGUAAAGCUCUGUUGUAAGUCAAGAACGGGUGUGAGAGUGGAAAGUUCACACUGUGACGGUAGCUUACCAGAAAGGGACGGCUAACUACGUGCCAGCAGCCGCGGUAAUACGUAGGUCCCGAGCGUUGUCCGGAUUUAUUGGGCGUAAAGCGAGCGCAGGCGGUUUGAUAAGUCUGAAGUUAAAGGCUGUGGCUCAACCAUAGUUCGCUUUGGAAACUGUCAAACUUGAGUGCAGAAGGGGAGAGUGGAAUUCCAUGUGUAGCGGUGAAAUGCGUAGAUAUAUGGAGGAACACCGGUGGCGAAAGCGGCUCUCUGGUCUGUAACUGACGCUGAGGCUCGAAAGCGUGGGGAGCGAACAGGAUUAGAUACCCUGGUAGUCCACGCCGUAAACGAUGAGUGCUAGGUGUUGGAUCCUUUCCGGGAUUCAGUGCCGCAGCUAACGCAUUAAGCACUCCGCCUGGGGAGUACGACCGCAAGGUUGAAACUCAAAGGAAUUGACGGGGGCCCGCACAAGCGGUGGAGCAUGUGGUUUAAUUCGAAGCAACGCGAAGAACCUUACCAGGUCUUGACAUCCCGAUGCUAUUUCUAGAGAUAGAAAGUUACUUCGGUACAUCGGUGACAGGUGGUGCAUGGUUGUCGUCAGCUCGUGUCGUGAGAUGUUGGGUUAAGUCCCGCAACGAGCGCAACCCCUAUUGUUAGUUGCCAUCAUUCAGUUGGGCACUCUAGCGAGACUGCCGGUAAUAAACCGGAGGAAGGUGGGGAUGACGUCAAAUCAUCAUGCCCCUUAUGACCUGGGCUACACACGUGCUACAAUGGUUGGUACAACGAGUUGCGAGUCGGUGACGGCGAGCUAAUCUCUUAAAGCCAAUCUCAGUUCGGAUUGUAGGCUGCAACUCGCCUACAUGAAGUCGGAAUCGCUAGUAAUCGCGGAUCAGCACGCCGCGGUGAAUACGUUCCCGGGCCUUGUACACACCGCCCGUCACACCACGAGAGUUUGUAACACCCGAAGUCGGUGAGGUAACCUUUGGAGCCAGCCGCCUAAGGUGA
This 1446-nucleotide ribosomal RNA is filed under the name Streptococcus thermophilus. Its description in RNAcentral is "bacterial SSU rRNA". It matches the Rfam family "Bacterial small subunit ribosomal RNA". The record is from RNAcentral. Lineage: Bacteria; Bacillati; Bacillota; Bacilli; Lactobacillales; Streptococcaceae.